RNAcentral lists this ribosomal RNA (448 nucleotides) under uncultured Anaerolineaceae bacterium. RNAcentral's name for it is "bacterial SSU rRNA". It matches the Rfam family "Bacterial small subunit ribosomal RNA", at positions 919 to 1382 of the family's 1533-position model. The record is from RNAcentral. Lineage: Bacteria; Bacillati; Chloroflexota; Anaerolineae; Anaerolineales; Anaerolineaceae.
ACCCGCACAAGCAGCGGAGCGUGUGGUUUAAUUCGUUGCUACACGAAGAACCUUACCUGGGUUUGACAUAUAGGUUGUAGGGAACUGAAAAGGGACCGACCUUCGGGAGCCUAUACAGGUGUUGCAUGGCUGUCGUCAGCUCGUGUCGUGAGAUGUUCGGUUAAGUCCGCUAACGAGCGCAACCCUCGUCGUAUGUUAUAUGUGUCAUACGAGACUGCCGGUAAAAAGCCGGAGGAAGGUGAGGAUGAUGUCAAGUCAGCAUGACCUUUAUAUCCAGGGCUACACACACGCUACAAUGGUCUGUACAAUGGGUAGCCAAGCCGCGAGGCGGAGCCAAUCCUGAAAGCAGGCCUCAGUUCAGAUUGUAGGCUGCAACCCGCCUGCAUGAAGAUGGAGUUGCUAGUAACCGCAGGUCAGCUAUACUGCGGUGAAUACGUUCCCGGGGCUU